UGGCAAGUCCUCAGAUUGUGUUCUAACA
RNAcentral lists this non-coding RNA (28 nucleotides) under Rattus norvegicus (Norway rat). Lineage: Eukaryota; Metazoa; Chordata; Mammalia; Rodentia; Muridae. The record is from RNAcentral.